This 253-nucleotide ribosomal RNA is filed under the name uncultured bacterium. Its description in RNAcentral is "partial 16S ribosomal RNA". It matches the Rfam family "Bacterial small subunit ribosomal RNA", at positions 524 to 776 of the family's 1533-position model. The record is from RNAcentral.
UACGAAGGGGGCAAGCGUUGUUCGGAAUUACUGGGCGUAAAGGGCGCGUAGGCGGUGCUCUAAGUCAGGCGUGAAAGCCCUGGGCUCAACCCGGGAAUUGCGCUUGAUACUGGAGCGCUUGAAUCCAGGAGAGGUUGGUGGAAUUCCCAGUGUAGAGGUGGAAUUCGUAGAGAUUGGGAAGAACACCGGUGGCGAAGGCGGCCAACUGGACUGGUAUUGACGCUGAGGCGCGAAAGCGUGGGGAGCAAACAGG